UAUGGUGGCACACAUGCCUAUUCUUGGU
RNAcentral lists this non-coding RNA (28 nucleotides) under Homo sapiens (human). Lineage: Eukaryota; Metazoa; Chordata; Mammalia; Primates; Hominidae. The record is from RNAcentral.